This 253-nucleotide ribosomal RNA is filed under the name uncultured bacterium. RNAcentral describes it as "partial 16S ribosomal RNA". It matches the Rfam family "Bacterial small subunit ribosomal RNA", at positions 524 to 776 of the family's 1533-position model. The record is from RNAcentral.
UACGUAGGGUGCGAGCGUUGUCCGGAAUUAUUGGGCGUAAAGAGCUCGUAGGCGGUUUGUUGCGUCGGCCGUGAAAACUUGGGGCUUAACCCCGAGCCUGCGGUCGAUACGGGCAGACUUGAGUUCGGCAGGGGAGACUGGAAUUCCUGGUGUAGCGGUGAAAUGCGCAGAUAUCAGGAGGAACACCGGUGGCGAAGGCGGGUCUCUGGGCCGAUACUGACGCUGAGGAGCGAAAGCGUGGGGAGCGAACAGG